Molecule: ribosomal RNA, 492 nt
Filed under: uncultured bacterium
Lineage: Bacteria
Description: partial 16S ribosomal RNA
Rfam family: Bacterial small subunit ribosomal RNA
Source: RNAcentral
AUUGAACGCUGGCGGCAUGCUUUACACAUGCAAGUCGAACGGUAACAGGUUAAGCUGACGAGUGGCGAACGGGUGAGUAAUGCAUCGGAACGUGCCCGAUCGUGGGGGAUAACGCAGCGAAAGCUGCGCUAAUACCGCAUACGAUCUGAGGAUGAAAGCGGGGGACCGUAAGGCCUCGCGCGAUCGGAGCGGCCGAUGUCAGAUUAGGUAGUGGGUGGGGUAAAGGCUCACCAGGCCAACGAUCUGUAGCUGGUCUGAGAGGACGACCAGCCAGACUGGGACUGAGACACGGCCCAGAAUACUACGGGAGGCAGCAGUGGGGAAUUUUGGACAAUGGGCGAAAGCCUGAUCCAGCAAUGCCGCGUGCAGGAAGAAGGCCUUCGGGUUGUAAACUGCUUUUGUACGGAGCGAAAGGCCCUCUCUAAUACAGUGGGCUCAUGACGGUACCGUAAGAAUAAGCACCGGCUAACUACGUGCCAGCCGCCGCGGUAA